This 1071-nucleotide ribosomal RNA is filed under the name Enterococcus thailandicus. Its description in RNAcentral is "bacterial SSU rRNA". It matches the Rfam family "Bacterial small subunit ribosomal RNA", at positions 67 to 1108 of the family's 1533-position model. Lineage: Bacteria; Bacillati; Bacillota; Bacilli; Lactobacillales; Enterococcaceae. The record is from RNAcentral.
CGCUUUUUCUUUCACCGGAGCUUGCUCCACCGAAAGAAAAGGAGUGGCGAACGGGUGAGUAACACGUGGGUAACCUGCCCAUCAGAAGGGGAUAACACUUGGAAACAGGUGCUAAUACCGUAUAACAAUCGAAACCGCAUGGUUUUGAUUUGAAAGGCGCUUUCGGGUGUCGCUGAUGGAUGGACCCGCGGUGCAUUAGCUAGUUGGUGAGGUAACGGCUCACCAAGGCCACGAUGCAUAGCCGACCUGAGAGGGUGAUCGGCCACAUUGGGACUGAGACACGGCCCAAACUCCUACGGGAGGCAGCAGUAGGGAAUCUUCGGCAAUGGACGAAAGUCUGACCGAGCAACGCCGCGUGAGUGAAGAAGGUUUUCGGAUCGUAAAACUCUGUUGUUAGAGAAGAACAAGGAUGAGAGUAACUGUUCAUCCCUUGACGGUAUCUAACCAGAAAGCCACGGCUAACUACGUGCCAGCAGCCGCGGUAAUACGUAGGUGGCAAGCGUUGUCCGGAUUUAUUGGGCGUAAAGCGAGCGCAGGCGGUUUCUUAAGUCUGAUGUGAAAGCCCCCGGCUCAACCGGGGAGGGUCAUUGGAAACUGGGAGACUUGAGUGCAGAAGAGGAGAGUGGAAUUCCAUGUGUAGCGGUGAAAUGCGUAGAUAUAUGGAGGAACACCAGUGGCGAAGGCGACUCUCUGGUCUGUAACUGACGCUGAGGCUCGAAAGCGUGGGGAGCAAACAGGAUUAGAUACCCUGGUAGUCCACGCCGUAAACGAUGAGUGCUAAGUGUUGGAGGGUUUCCGCCCUUCAGUGCUGCAGCUAACGCAUUAAGCACUCCGCCUGGGGAGUACGACCGCAAGGUUGAAACUCAAAGGAAUUGACGGGGGCCCGCACAAGCGGUGGAGCAUGUGGUUUAAUUCGAAGCAACGCGAAGAACCUUACCAGGUCUUGACAUCCUUUGACCACUCUAGAGAUAGAGCUUCCCCUUCGGGGGCAAAGUGACAGGUGGUGCAUGGUUGUCGUCAGCUCGUGUCGUGAGAUGUUGGGUUAAGUCCCGCAACGAGCGCAACCCUUAU